UGGGGUAUCGCCAAGCGGUAAGGCACCGGAUUCUGAUUCCGGCAGAACGGCGUGUGCUUCCUGCAACAGGAUGAAGCGCUCGACAGCCACCGCAAGCUGAGUCAUUACUUCAG
RNAcentral lists this transfer RNA (113 nucleotides) under Salmonella enterica subsp. enterica serovar Anatum. Its description in RNAcentral is "tRNA-Gln". Lineage: Bacteria; Pseudomonadati; Pseudomonadota; Gammaproteobacteria; Enterobacterales; Enterobacteriaceae. The record is from RNAcentral.